This 433-nucleotide ribosomal RNA is filed under the name uncultured bacterium. Its description in RNAcentral is "partial 16S ribosomal RNA". It matches the Rfam family "Bacterial small subunit ribosomal RNA", at positions 29 to 507 of the family's 1533-position model. The record is from RNAcentral.
AACGAACGCUGGCGGCAUGCCUAACACAUGCAAGUCGAACGAUCCCUUCGGGGAUAGUGGCGCACGGGUGCGUAACGCGUGGGAACCUGCCCUUAGGUUCGGAAUAACCCAGAGAAAUUUGAGCUAAUACCGGAUAAUGUCUUCGGACCAAAGAUUUAUCGCCUUUGGAUGGGCCCGCGUUUGAUUAGCUAGUUGGUGGGGUACAGGCCUACCAAGGCGACGAUCCAUAGCUGGUCUGAGAGGAUGAUCAGCCACACUGGGACUGAGACACGGCCCAGACUCCUACGGGAGGAAGCAGUGGGGAAUAUUGGACAAUGGGCGAAAGCCUGAGCCAGCAAUGGCGCGUGAGUGAUGAAGGCCUUAGGGUUGUAAAGCUCUUUUACCCGGGAUGAUAAUGACCGUACCGGGAGAAUAAGCCCCGGCUAACUCCGUG